UACGGGGGGAGCAAGCGUUGUUCGGAUUUACUGGGCGUAAAGCGUGCGCAGGCGGUCCGCAAAGUCUGAUGUGAAAGCCCCGGGCUCAACCUGGGAACUGCAUUGGAAACUAACGGGCUCGAGUGUGGCAGAGGGGGGUGGAAUUCCACGUGUAGCAGUGAAAUGCGUAGAGAUGUGGAGGAACACCGAUGGCGAAGGCAGCCCCCUGGGCUAACACUGACGCUCAGGCACGAAAGCGUGGGGAGCAAACAGG
RNAcentral lists this ribosomal RNA (253 nucleotides) under uncultured bacterium. RNAcentral's name for it is "partial 16S ribosomal RNA". It matches the Rfam family "Bacterial small subunit ribosomal RNA", at positions 524 to 776 of the family's 1533-position model. The record is from RNAcentral.